UACGGAGGGGACUAGCGUUGUUCGGAAUUACUGGGCGUAAAGCGCACGUAGGCGGAUUUGUAAGUCAGGGGUGAAAUCCCGGGGCUCAACCUCGGAACUGCCUUUGAUACUGCAAAUCUCGAGUCCGGAAGAGGUGAGUGGAAUUCCUAGUGUAGAGGUGAAAUUCGUAGAUAUUAGGAAGAACACCGGUGGCGAAGGCGGCCAACUGGACUGGUAUUGACGCUGAGGCGCGAAAGCGUGGGGAGCAAACAGG
RNAcentral lists this ribosomal RNA (253 nucleotides) under uncultured bacterium. Its description in RNAcentral is "partial 16S ribosomal RNA". It matches the Rfam family "Bacterial small subunit ribosomal RNA", at positions 524 to 776 of the family's 1533-position model. The record is from RNAcentral.